This is a long non-coding RNA of Tachysurus fulvidraco (yellow catfish), 3171 nucleotides long. RefSeq lists it as uncharacterized. The record is from RefSeq and is a predicted model, not a curated record. The transcript is spliced from 4 exons. Lineage: Eukaryota; Metazoa; Chordata; Actinopteri; Siluriformes; Bagridae.
UCUGUGGCGGGAGAGCGUGAGAAAAGACCAAAAUGCAUGACUGUCACUCUCAAUGCGUGACACUUGACAGCCCUGUUAGGUAAUCUCUGACUUUGACAUGACAUUCACCAGAUUUGCUCAUAAAGGGAAAUGCUGCCCUACAACACACAGUGAGUAAACAGAAUAAAUGUUUCCAACACUUUUUCUGUUGGUGUGAAAGGUUUCUUGUUAACUCUUAAAUCAAUCCCCUCAGAGCUGCAGCAGUGACUCUGCAUUAACACACGGCUCUUUACAGAUUGCUUCCUGAUUGGUUAAAUGACAUUAAGUAAUUAAAUCAGCUGUUCAUAUGGUUUAUUAUUUUCCUCCUCAGAUAUUCUUCACAACACACUCUGAUUAGUGAGGAGUGUAAAGUAAAGGUAAAAACCCACCAGUGUUCAUGACGUGUAUGACGUAUCAUACAAAACAUUGACAGAGAAAAGCAGACAGAAGAGGAAUCAGAUUUUUUUAUGUUGCUCACGUGAUUCUGUUUGAGACCUGAUUUCCUUCACUAAAAAUUCAUUAAUUUUUCACUCCGCAGAUGUCAGAUUUGGUGGCUUACUAUUAUCCCAUUGAGAUCGACAGCUCGAAGUCUGUGGAGGAGAAAAUUCCUCACAUGGAGGAGUGGUGGAUGUAAGCUCACACUUUGUUUAUCAAGCAGCGAAAUAGGAAAGACCAGCUGGCUCAGGCUGUUUGAGAUCCGGGUGCCAUGUUGAGGAAUUUUACCCACAAUGCACCAUGUUCCAUAUAAUAUAGUUAGUGCACUUCUUUGUGUGUUUACAUCUUCACAUUAUGCUCUGUGUGUGUCUCUAUUAGAGAAGGCUAAAGGUCUUUCUUUGACAUGCUGAAGGAGAACUCUGUCCCUCUGCUGAUCUUCUCGGCUGGAGUCGGAGAUAUUUUAGAGGAAGUGAUAAUCGGAUAUGGUGUCUUCUCCUCGAAUGGUUUUGCAUGUGCAUUUAAGGGCGAGUUGAUCCACACGUUUAAUAAAAGAGAGGGAGCUCUGCAGAACAUACACCAGUUUGUACAAUGUGCUGCUGCUGGGAGACUCACUGUGAGACCUAGACAUGGCCGACGGCGUGCAGGACCUCGAAAACAUCCUGUGCAUCAGCUACCUCAAUGACAAGAAACAUCACCUGCCCGAGCACACACUGGCUUUCCCUGGUUGUUUGCUCACCUGCGUUUGCUUGCUCUUGUGUAUUUGCCUUUUCUUAUUCCCAAUUCUGAUUUAGUUAUUGUGUGUUAAGUUUUCCACCUUGCGAACUCUAUGACGCUGCUAUUGAAGUUAAUGCUGUGACUCGACUCUCGGUUUAACGGUGUUUAUUCCAGUCCUUCUCCGAUACAUAGUGAUUGGAACCAGGUUAGUAUGUCACAUGACUUACAUUUCAUCACGCAGAGUAAAACUGUUUACACACACUAGGUUAUGAGCGGAUGCCAAUCCUUGUAUUUAUGUUAUUAUGCACCACCCUUCACCAAUAGAGGAAAGGUUUUCUUUUGACCGCGUCUUAAUAAUUCCAUUUAUUACGUCCUCUAGACUCAUAGUGAGAUGUAACAUAAUUUGGGCUCCUAAACAAGUGGAUGCAGUCGCCUUUGUUGGGGACUGAGGUGUGUGUUUUGUUAACAGGCAGGAUUUUGUGUGAACGUUAGGUUGAGCAAAUUUAGUCUUGUGGCAUUGUGGUGAGGUUUGAUGGUGUUUAACUUGCAGAGUUUUGUUGAUAAUCCCUUGUAGAAGGUGAUUGAUAAAUGCAGGAAGGAUGAGUCGUUAAUAAUAGCUAAACACUUCCAAAUUGCGAUUCCAAAACAAACUUUAAAAAAGAAUAUUAAAACCGAAUUAAUUGACUGCUUAGUUAAUUCCGGAGUUUUAAGCUUGCCUAAUGUAGAUAGAGGGGCGGAUCUUUCUGGUGAGGAGCAGGAUGCUGGGGAAUUUGGUGAAGGUGAGGGCGAGUUAGUCACAGCAGAGGCUGAGGGUAAAGCUGGGGCAACUCUUCCACCUUUCGUACCCUUUUCACCGAGCACUCCCAGGUCAGGAGUCACAGUUGAGCGUGUGGAUCGCACGGCUCCGGAUGGAGGCUCAUGAGAGGGCACAAAUCCGCCAGGCAGAUUUAAAUCUGCAUCUACAGGUGCGCAAGUUCGAAAUUGAAGCCGAUAAGGAAGUUGGACAUCAAGGCAGAGAAGGCUGUAGCUGUUUCCGCUGUCCCGCAGAACUCCUCAGUGGUAAGUGACAAUUCAGCUAAUUCGAGUUCAGCCACUUUUGAUGUGGGCAAGCACAUUGCUUUAGUGCCAAGUUUUUGUGAAUCAGAAGUGGAUAGCUAUUUUAACGCUUUUGAAAGAAUUUCAGCUUCUUUGGGUUGGCCUGAAGACGUAUGGUCAUUGUUGUUGCAGUGCAAAUUAGCUGGGAAAGCUUUGGAGGUUUAUUCAACCCUGUCUUUGGAGGACAGUCUAAAGUAUGAUGUGGUUAAGCUAGCAGUACUCAAAGCUUAUAAGUUAGCCCCAGAGGUCUAUUGGCAGCAGUUUCGUACUCGUAGGAAAAUCGCAAGCCAAACAUACAUUGAAUUCGCCCGAGAUAAGGGAAUUAUUUUUGAUAGAUGGUGUGCUUCCAGUAGAGCAGAGGAUUUUAUGUCGUUUAGAGAGCUGGUAUGUUACUUGAAGAUUUUAAACAGUGUCUACCCGAGAGGAUGGUACUAUACUUGAAUGAACAGAAAAUAACAUUAUCUCAGGCAGCAGUGUUCGCAGACGAAUUUGUUAGCGAUCGCUGAAAGGAGUUUUUUAGGCCACCGUCGAGGUUCAGCAGCCCAAACUGAGUGGUGAAAAGCCAAAAUAAAUGUGAGUGUUUUUACUGUCAUAAGAAAGGACAUGUUAUAGCAGAGUGUUUGUCCCUAAAGAAUAAAGUACAGAAUAAAGGUGAAAUUGACAGUUUAUGAAACAUUUCUUUUUAAAUGGUUGUGUAUCACUAUCAGAUAGGGAGGAAGAUCAGGUAGAAGUGCAGGUGUUAAGAGACACGGGCAUCGCCCAGUAGUUUGUGUGCGCAGAUGUUUUGCCUUUUUCAGAACGUCCUGUUUUACCGGUGAAAGGUGUAUCCUUCAUUUUAGGUAACGAUUUGGCUGGAGGGAAAGUGGUACCUUCGCUGGAGGUAGUUGACAAUGUAAGAAAUAAAAAAGU